ACAGGAUUAGAUACCCUGGUAGUCCACGCCGUAAACGAUGUCGACUUGGAGGCUGUUCCCCUGAGGAGUGGCUUCCGGAGCUAACGCGUUAAGUCGACCGCCUGGGGAGCACGGCCGCAAGGUUAAAACUCAAAUGAAUUGACGGGGGCCCGCACAAGCGGUGGAGCAUGUGGUUUAAUUCGAUGCAACGCGAAGAACCUUACCUACUCUUGACAUCCAGAGAACUUUCCAGAGAUGGAUUGGUGCCUUCGGGAACUCUGAGACAGGUGCUGCAUGGCUGUCGUCAGCUCGUGUUGUGAAAUGUUGGGUUAAGUCCCGCAACGAGCGCAACCCUUAUCCUUUGUUGCCAGCGAUUCGGUCGGGAACUCAAAGGAGAUUGCCGGUGAUAAACCGGAGGAAGGUGGGGAUGACGUCAAGUCAUCAUGGCCCUUACGAGUAGGGCUACACACGUGCUACAAUGGCGCAUACAAAGAGCAGCGACCUCGCGAGAGCAAGCGGACCUCAUAAAGUGCGUCGUAGUCCGGAUCGGAGUCUGCAACUCGACUCCGUGAAGUCGGAAUCGCUAGUAAUCGUGGAUCAGAAUGCCACGGUGAAUACGUUCCCGGGCCUUGUACACACCGCCCGUCACACCAUGGGAGUGGGUUGCAAAAGAAGUAGGUAGCUUAACCUUCGGGAGGGCGCUUACCACUUUGUGAUUCAUGACUGGGGUGAAGUCGUAACAAGGUAAC
This 728-nucleotide ribosomal RNA is filed under the name uncultured bacterium. Its description in RNAcentral is "bacterial SSU rRNA". It matches the Rfam family "Bacterial small subunit ribosomal RNA", at positions 772 to 1500 of the family's 1533-position model. The record is from RNAcentral.